CUUGAACUCCGGGUCCUGUGUUAAAUAACCUGGAAGUGCGUAUGUUCUGGCGCCACUGAACGUCUCCCAAUGGCCUAUCUUUAACAAUGGAAUGCAGUCAACAACCUUGAGGAAUUUCCAGCUGAAAGUCUCCCGACGUGAUAAGGAUCUGACCGGCUGGGCGAGAUAUGCGUGGAGGAAGAGUUUAUAUCUCCCGCAUCUUGCACCUGCUCAAGUAGUUGUCGCAACGAGGCAAAGCCAUAACCGGGAACCGUCGACAUCAAGAAACUGGGUGGCAGGUCCAAACCAAAGCUCUCAAAGAAGAAGCUUUUAGUGUCUGACUCAUGAACAGUGCAGUUGAAACUCUACCCAUUUCUCUUGAGGGUCCAAUAGGCUCAGUGAGAAGCCUAUUAUGCUGCUGAUUGGCUAGAGGGGUGAGACAGGGGACGCCCGCUCAUUUCUGCCUGAGGGGGUCUUGACAUUGAGUCUAAACUAAGCUCUGCUCCAAAGAGGAUGGGCCUCAGACCAACUCUGUCUUGCUGUGAAUCGCCACCCCCUUGACCCAGACUGAGGAGAUGAGAAGAGGAUUGGAUCAUGUUAGCAAGGCCAGGACUUAAAUACUGUAUCAAGCCACUAGCAGUUAUUUAAACAGUGAAAUAUAUGGUCAAUCUAAAUACAGGUGACUGGAUUUGAAGCAUCUGGGUUUUUUUGGUUUCCCCAAUAGUUACAAUCAGCUUUUUAGCCCUGACCACUUAAUUUUGU
Esox lucius (northern pike) is the source of this 741-nucleotide long non-coding RNA. NCBI's taxonomy places the organism in Eukaryota, Metazoa, Chordata, Actinopteri, Esociformes, Esocidae. The record is from Ensembl.